This 589-nucleotide small RNA is filed under the name Pongo abelii (Sumatran orangutan). RNAcentral describes it as "retained intron". Lineage: Eukaryota; Metazoa; Chordata; Mammalia; Primates; Hominidae. The record is from RNAcentral.
UUGUGGUGGAUGGCCAGAGUUAUCUGCUGCUGAUCCGAGAUGAAGGAGGCCCCCCUGAGCUCCAGUUUGCUGCCUGGGUGGAUGCAGUGGUGUUUGUAUUCAGCCUGGAGGAUGAAAUCAGUUUCCAGACGGUGUACAACUACUUCCUGCGUCUCUGCAGCUUCCGCAACGCCAGCGAGGUGCCCAUGGUGCUUGUGGGCACGCAGGGUGAGGCGGGGCCCUGCAGGAGCUGGCAGAGAGCAGGAAGCCCCGGGCAACGAUGCAUGGGGGCAGGGAUGGGCAGGUGUGAGAAAGCUCCCAAGCCCCUACUCUUUUCCCAGUGCUGACCGGGACCCUCAGCACUCUCCGUGCUGCUCGUGUCUGAGGGCUUUUGCCCCCACUGAAACCUGCUGUCCCUGUGACUAGCAGGUCUGUAUUUUUUUCGAUGAAUAAACGUGCUCAGAGCUUAAGUGCUUGCUGGUUUGCACUCAGUGAGGCCAUGGCAGGGUUGAAAUGAGACCCAGGCACCCGCGUUCUUGGUGCUGUGUGUUCCACUCACCAGGCCCUUUGCCCACCUGCCCUUGGGCCAAAUGCCCCCACCACACUACCC